Molecule: small RNA, 517 nt
Filed under: Pongo abelii (Sumatran orangutan)
Lineage: Eukaryota; Metazoa; Chordata; Mammalia; Primates; Hominidae
Description: retained intron
Source: RNAcentral
CGGGGCAGUGACAGCUCCUAUGUGCGGGAGCUCAUCGGCAUGGACCCCGUGGCCGUGUUCCGCUGGGCCGUGCUCCGGGCCGCUAUCCGGGCCAUGGCAGUGCUUCGGGAGGCCGGACGCCUGCGGGCCGAGAGGGCCGAAAAGGCUGCAGGUAUUAGCAGCCCUGGUGCCCAAAGUCACCCGGAAGAGCUGCCAAGAGGAGCCAGCACCCCUUCGGAAAAACUUUACCGCGAUUUGCAUAACCAAAUGAUCAAGAGCAUCAAAGGAUUGCCCUGGCAGGGCGAGGACCCCCGUAGCCUUCUGCAGUCCCUCAGUCGGCUCCAGAAACCCCGCGCCUUCAUCCUGAAAAGUAAAGGUAUCAAACAAAAGCAGAUCAUUCCAAAGGUAAAAAAAAAAACACACCCCGCGCGACACAUUCCAAGAUAUCUUGCUUCUCUGCCCGUCUUGAGAGCUUUCACUUCUGCAGCUUCAUUUCCUCCUCCUUCCCACUAUCUCCCCCUCCCUCCAAGAAAAAAAA